GAAGGUGUACUCUGAUAUGUCGCCCUCAGAGUGGUGAUUGGUGUUAUUUCCGACGUUGUCAGCGGAAUUAUCACAAGGAAACAAGAUGUCGGGGUUCAAAUGCGGUGAUCGGGGAUCAUUGGCGCGAAAGAAAAUUUCGGGGUUCAAGAAAAUGAAAAAGAGAAAUCAUCGAAAUUUUUUGGGGUUCAAGAAAAGAAAAAAAAAGAAGAAGGAAUAAU
RNAcentral lists this long non-coding RNA (218 nucleotides) under Lathyrus oleraceus (garden pea). RNAcentral's name for it is "Pisum sativum (pea) long non-coding RNA (PSAT_LNC021653)". Lineage: Eukaryota; Viridiplantae; Streptophyta; Magnoliopsida; Fabales; Fabaceae. The record is from RNAcentral.